RNAcentral lists this microRNA (22 nucleotides) under Homo sapiens (human). RNAcentral describes it as "hsa-miR-6855-3p". The record is from miRBase by way of RNAcentral. Lineage: Eukaryota; Metazoa; Chordata; Mammalia; Primates; Hominidae.
AGACUGACCUUCAACCCCACAG